This 253-nucleotide ribosomal RNA is filed under the name uncultured bacterium. RNAcentral's name for it is "partial 16S ribosomal RNA". It matches the Rfam family "Bacterial small subunit ribosomal RNA", at positions 524 to 776 of the family's 1533-position model. The record is from RNAcentral.
UACGAAGGGGGCUCGCGUUGUUCGGAUUAACUGGGCGUAAAGCGCGCGUAGGCGGGUUUUUAAGUCAGGGGUGAAAUCCCAAGGCUCAACGUUGGAACUGCCUUUGAUACUGGAAAUCUUGAGUCCGGGAGAGGUGAGUGGAACUGCGAGUGUAGAGGUGAAAUUCGUAGAUAUUCGCAAGAACACCAGUGGCGAAGGCGGCUCACUGGCCCGGUACUGACGCUGAGGUGCGAAAGCGUGGGGAGCAAACAGG